This 1722-nucleotide ribosomal RNA is filed under the name Yersinia ruckeri. RNAcentral describes it as "bacterial LSU rRNA". It matches the Rfam family "Bacterial large subunit ribosomal RNA", at positions 1245 to 2925 of the family's 2925-position model. Lineage: Bacteria; Pseudomonadati; Pseudomonadota; Gammaproteobacteria; Enterobacterales; Yersiniaceae. The record is from RNAcentral.
AGCCGUUGAAGGUGGCCUGUGAGGGCUGCUGGAGGUAUCAGAAGUGCGAAUGCUGACAUAAGUAACGAUAAUGCGGGUGAAAAACCCGCACGCCGGAAGACCAAGGGUUCCUGUCCAACGUUAAUCGGGGCAGGGUGAGUCGACCCCUAAGGCGAGGCUGAAAAGCGUAGUCGAUGGGAAACAGGUUAAUAUUCCUGUACUGGGUGUGACUGCGAAGGGGGGACGGAGAAGGCUAGGCUAGCCGGGCGACGGUUGUCCCGGUUUAAGCAUGUAGGCGGAGCGACUUGGUAAAUCCGGUUGCUUAUCAACGCUGAGGUGUGAUGACGAGCCACUACGGUGGUGAAGUAGUUGAUGCCAAGCUUCCAGGAAAAGCCUCUAAGCAUCAGGUGACAUUCAAUCGUACCCCAAACCGACACAGGUGGUCAGGUAGAGAAUACUCAGGCGCUUGAGAGAACUCGGGUGAAGGAACUAGGCAAAAUGGUGCCGUAACUUCGGGAGAAGGCACGCUGGCAUUAGGUAAAGAGACUUGCUCUCGGCGCCGAAGCCAGUCGCAGAUACCAGCUGGCUGCAACUGUUUAAUAAAAACACAGCACUGUGCAAACACGAAAGUGGACGUAUACGGUGUGACGCCUGCCCGGUGCUGGAAGGUUAAUUGAUGGGGUCAGCCGCAAGGCGAAGCUCUUGAUCGAAGCCCCAGUAAACGGCGGCCGUAACUAUAACGGUCCUAAGGUAGCGAAAUUCCUUGUCGGGUAAGUUCCGACCUGCACGAAUGGCGUAAUGAUGGCCAGGCUGUCUCCACCCGAGACUCAGUGAAAUUGAACUCGCUGUGAAGAUGCAGUGUACCCGCGGCAAGACGGAAAGACCCCGUGAACCUUUACUAUAGCUUGACACUGAAUAUUGAGCCUUGAUGUGUAGGAUAGGUGGGAGGCAUCGAAGCGUGGACGCCAGUCUGCGUGGAGCCAACCUUGAAAUACCACCCUUUAAUGUUUGAUGUUCUAACUCGGCCCCAUAAUCUGGGGUGAGGACAGUGUCUGGUGGGUAGUUUGACUGGGGCGGUCUCCUCCCAAAGAGUAACGGAGGAGCACGAAGGUUAGCUAAUCACGGUCGGACAUCGUGAGGUUAGUGCAAAGGCAUAAGCUAGCUUGACUGCGAGAGUGACGGCUCGAGCAGGUACGAAAGUAGGUCUUAGUGAUCCGGUGGUUCUGAAUGGAAGGGCCAUCGCUCAACGGAUAAAAGGUACUCCGGGGAUAACAGGCUGAUACCGCCCAAGAGUUCAUAUCGACGGCGGUGUUUGGCACCUCGAUGUCGGCUCAUCACAUCCUGGGGCUGAAGUAGGUCCCAAGGGUAUGGCUGUUCGCCAUUUAAAGUGGUACGCGAGCUGGGUUUAGAACGUCGUGAGACAGUUCGGUCCCUAUCUGCCGUGGGCGUUGGAAGAUUGAGAGGGGCUGCUCCUAGUACGAGAGGACCGGAGUGGACGCAUCACUGGUGUUCGGGUUGUCAUGCCAAUGGCAUUGCCCGGUAGCUAAAUGCGGAAAAGAUAAGCGCUGAAAGCAUCUAAGCGCGAAACUUGCCUCGAGAUGAGUCUUCCCUGGGGCUUUAAGCCCCCUGAAGGAACGUUAAAGACUAUGACGUUGAUAGGCUGGGUGUGUAAGUGCAGCGAUGCAUUGAGCUAACCAGUACUAAUGAUCCGUGAGGCUUAACCUUACAACACCGAAGGUGUUU